RNA transcript from Musa acuminata AAA Group (dessert banana), 1895 nucleotides. It is a transcript of the gene named long chain base biosynthesis protein 2a, with no coding region annotated. The transcript has 13 exons. NCBI's taxonomy places the organism in Eukaryota, Viridiplantae, Streptophyta, Magnoliopsida, Zingiberales, Musaceae. The record is from RefSeq and is a predicted model, not a curated record.
UGUUUGUGUUAACCCGCGACGCCAAUGAUGACCAGUCCCUCUCUGUGUCCUCCAUAUGUACCGUCGUCCGCUUUCGCCUCUGUCCUCGGCCCCACGUUGCCUCCCUCGAGCCAUUUGAUCUCCGACGGAGCCGAACACCGGCGAUUGAAGGAUGGUUAGAUUGCCGUACCUCACCGCGCUCACCACCCUCUUCAGCUACGGCCUCCUCUUCGCCUUCGGCCAGCUGAGGGAUUUCUUCAGGAAGCUCAUCGAUUGGUCCAGAUCCAAGUCCAAGGACCUCAAGGGGUAUGCGCCAAUCUGCUUAGGGCUUGAAGAUUUCUACACACGCCGGCUUUAUCUCCGAAUUCAGGACUGUUUUAGCCGACCAAUUGCAAGCGCACCAGAUGCUUGGAUUGAUGUUGUUGAGCGUUAUUCUAAUGACAAUAACAAGACACUACACCGAACAUCAAAUACUACAAAAUGCUUAAAUCUGGGAUCAUACAACUACCUUGGGUUUGCUGCAGCAGAUGAAUACUGCACACCUCGUGUUAUUGACUCUCUGAAGAGAUACUCACCCAGUACCUGCAGUGUUCGUGUUGAUGGUGGGACAACAAACCUACACACUGAGCUUGAGGAGCUAGUUGCAAGGUUUGUGGGAAAACCAGCUGCUAUACUUUUUGGCAUGGGCUAUGUGACAAACUCAGCAAUUAUCCCUGCUCUGAUUGGGAAGGGAGGACUGAUCAUCAGUGAUUCUUUGAACCAUAACUCUAUUGUCAAUGGUGCUCGAGGAUCUGGUGCAGCAGUACGUGUUUUCCAGCACAACAGCCCCUCACAUUUAGAAGAUGUUCUAAGAGAGCAGAUAGCUGAAGGACAGCCUCGGACACAUAGACCCUGGAAAAAGAUAAUUGUUAUUGUGGAGGGCAUCUACAGCAUGGAAGGAGAACUUUGCAAGCUUCCUGAAAUUAUAGCUGUCUGUAAAAAAUACAAGGCUUAUACAUACUUGGAUGAGGCCCACAGCAUUGGUGCUAUUGGAAAAUCAGGCAGGGGGGUUUGUGAGCUCCUAGGAGUGGAUCCAGCUGAUGUGGACAUCAUGAUGGGCACUUUUACAAAAUCAUUUGGGUCUUGUGGAGGCUACAUUGCAGCAUCAAAGGAAAUCAUUCAAUAUCUUAAGUACACUUGCCCUGCACAUCUGUAUGCCACUUCCAUGUCACCACCUGCUGUGCAGCAAGUAAUCUCUGCAAUUAAGGUUAUCCUUGGGGAAGAUGGGUCAAAUAGAGGUGCCCAGAAACUUGCACGCAUUCGUGAAAACAGCAACUUCUUCAGGUCAGAACUUCAGAAAAUGGGAUUUGAGGUUCUGGGUGAUAAUGAUUCUCCGGUUAUGCCAAUAAUGCUCUACAAUCCAGCAAAGAUCCCAGCCUUCUCCAGGGAAUGCCUCAGACAAAAUGUUGCAGUAGUGACUGUUGCAUUCCCAGCAACACCUCUUCUUCUUGCGAGGGCUCGGAUAUGCAUUUCUGCUUCACACUCCAAAGAAGACCUGAUGAAAGGUCUGGAGGUUAUCAGCAAAGUUGGUGACCUUGUGGGCAUCAAAUACUUCCCUGCAGAACCACCUAAGCAUGCCGAACAGGAAAAGAAGAACCUAUAAUGGAAAAGGAGGCAGUGACUGAUUCACAGGAAAUCAUGCCAUGGAAGCAACCUGAGUCAUAUCAACCAUUUAUGUUUAUUCCAUGCUGUUUGAAGUUUGAGUGCAGCAAAAAAGAAGAGGUUGUAGCACCUGACAUCCAAGCAUAUCAGCAGGAACAAAAUCAUAUGUAUCCAUCUGGCUGUACAUUGAGAAAGUUGGAAGUCAGCAGAAACAGGAUUGAAGAUUGCAGCAGACAUCAGAGUUUGCUGAAUUAGCUGAGGAACAAUGUACCACG